GACGAACGCUGGCGGCGUGCCUAAUACAUGCAAGUAGAACGCACAGUUUAUACCGUAGCUUGCUACACCAUAGACUGUGAGUUGCGAACGGGUGAGUAACGCGUAGGUAACCUGCCUGGUAGCGGGGGAUAACUAUUGGAAACGAUAGCUAAUACCGCAUAAUAUUGAUUAUUGCAUGAUAAUUGAUUGAAAGAUGCUAUUGCAUCACUGCCAGAUGGACCUGCGUUGUAUUAGCUAGUAGGUGAGGUAACGGCUCACCUAGGCGACGAUACAUAGCCGACCUGAGAGGGUGAUCGGCCACACUGGGACUGAGACACGGCCCAGACUCCUACGGGAGGCAGCAGUAGGGAAUCUUCGGCAAUGGACGAAAGUCUGACCGAGCAACGCCGCGUGAGUGAAGGAGGUUUUCGGAUCGUAAAGCUCUGUUGUAAGAGAAGAACGGGUGUGAGAGUGGAAAGUUCACACUGUGACGGUAUCUUACCAGAAAGGGACGGCUAACUACGUG
This 505-nucleotide ribosomal RNA is filed under the name uncultured bacterium. RNAcentral's name for it is "partial 16S ribosomal RNA". It matches the Rfam family "Bacterial small subunit ribosomal RNA", at positions 28 to 507 of the family's 1533-position model. The record is from RNAcentral.